Molecule: non-coding RNA, 25 nt
Filed under: Mus musculus (house mouse)
Lineage: Eukaryota; Metazoa; Chordata; Mammalia; Rodentia; Muridae
Source: RNAcentral
UGGUAGCGGCACAAUUUUUUAAAUA